This 410-nucleotide non-coding RNA is filed under the name Stappia sp. 22II-S9-Z10. RNAcentral describes it as "bacterial LSU rRNA". It matches the Rfam family "Bacterial large subunit ribosomal RNA", at positions 1 to 404 of the family's 2925-position model. Lineage: Bacteria; Pseudomonadati; Pseudomonadota; Alphaproteobacteria; Hyphomicrobiales; Stappiaceae. The record is from RNAcentral.
GGUUAAGUUAGAAAGGGCGCACGGUGGAUGCCUUGGCACUAGGAGCCGAAGAAGGACGGGACUAACACCGAUAUGCUUUGGGGAGCUGUACGUAAGCGUUGAUCCAGAGAUUUCCGAAUGGGGGAACCCACUAUCUUUAGUCGGAUAGUAUCCUUACGUGAAUACAUAGCGUGAGGAAGGCAGACCCAGGGAACUGAAACAUCUAAGUACCUGGAGGAAGAGAAAGAAAAAUCGAUUUCCUGAGUAGCGGCGAGCGAAACGGAAAGAGCCCAAACCAAGAAGCUUGCUUCUUGGGGUUGUAGGACACUCUAUACGGAGUUACAAAAGAAAGUUAUAAAUGAAGCGGUCUGGAAAGGCCCGCCAAAGACGGUAACAGCCCGGUAGUUGAAAUAGCUUUCCCUCCAGAGUGG